Molecule: transfer RNA, 67 nt
Filed under: Nesophrosyne sp. 23 GMB-2012
Lineage: Eukaryota; Metazoa; Arthropoda; Insecta; Hemiptera; Cicadellidae
Description: tRNA-Arg
Source: RNAcentral
UAACAUAGAAGUAAAAAAUACAUUUAGCUUCGACCUAAAUUAAUAGGAUUAAAUAUCCUCAUGUUUU